Molecule: transfer RNA, 89 nt
Filed under: Candidatus Stahliibacteriota bacterium
Lineage: Bacteria; Candidatus Stahliibacteriota
Also listed under: 1 other name
Description: bacterium (Candidatus Stahlbacteria) tRNA-Ser
Rfam family: tRNA
About the family: Transfer RNA (tRNA) molecules are approximately 80 nucleotides in length. Their secondary structure includes four short double-helical elements and three loops (D, anti-codon, and T loops). Further hydrogen bonds mediate the characteristic L-shaped molecular structure. tRNAs have two regions of fundamental functional importance: the anti-codon, which is responsible for specific mRNA codon recognition, and the 3' end, to which the tRNAs corresponding amino acid is attached (by aminoacyl-tRNA synthetases). tRNAs cope with the degeneracy of the genetic code in two manners: having more than one tRNA (with a specific anti-codon) for a particular amino acid; and 'wobble' base-pairing, i.e. permitting non-standard base-pairing at the 3rd anti-codon position.
Source: RNAcentral
GGAGAGGUGACCGAGCGGCUGAAGGUGCACGAUUGGAAAUCGUGUUUUCACUUUAUCGUGGAACGAGGGUUCGAAUCCCUCCCUCUCCG